This 252-nucleotide ribosomal RNA is filed under the name uncultured bacterium. Its description in RNAcentral is "partial 16S ribosomal RNA". It matches the Rfam family "Bacterial small subunit ribosomal RNA", at positions 524 to 776 of the family's 1533-position model. The record is from RNAcentral.
UACGUAGGGGGCUAGCGUUAUCCGGAAUUACUGGGCGUAAAGGGUGCGUAGGUGGUUUCUUAAGUCAGAGGUGAAAGGCUACGGCUCAACCGUAGUAAGCCUUUGAAACUGGGGAACUUGAGUGCAGAAGAGGAGAGUGGAAUUCCCAGUGUAGCGGUGAAAUGCGUAGAUAUUAGGAGGAACACCAGUUGCGAAGGCGGCUCUCUGGACUGUAACUGACACUGAGGCACGAAAGCGUGGGGAGCAAACAGG